UUAAGCGACUAAGCGUACACGGUGGAUGCCCUGGCAGUCAGAGGCGAUGAAGGACGUGCUAAUCUGCGAUAAGCGUCGGUAAGGUGAUAUGAACCGUUAUAACCGGCGAUUUCCGAAUGGGGAAACCCAGUGUGUUUCGACACACUAUCAUUAACUGAAUCCAUAGGUUAAUGAGGCGAACCGGGGGAACUGAAACAUCUAAGUACCCCGAGGAAAAGAAAUCAACCGAGAUUCCCCCAGUAGCGGCGAGCGAACGGGGAGCAGCCCAGAGCCUGAAUCAGUGUGUGUGUUAGUGGAAGCGUCUGGAAAGGCGCGCGAUACAGGGUGACAGCCCCGUACACAAAAAUGCACAUGCUGUGAGCUCGAUGAGUAGGGCGGGACACGUGGUAUCCUGUCUGAAUAUGGGGGGACCAUCCUCCAAGGCUAAAUACUCCUGACUGACCGAUAGUGAACCAGUACCGUGAGGGAAAGGCGAAAAGAACCCCGGCGAGGGGAGUGAAAAAGAACCUGAAACCGUGUACGUACAAGCAGUGGGAGCAUGCUUAGGCGUGUGACUGCGUACCUUUUGUAUAAUGGGUCAGCGACUUAUAUUCUGUAGCAAGGUUAACCGAAUAGGGGAGCCGAAGGGAAACCGAGUCUUAACUGGGCGUUAAGUUGCAGGGUAUAGACCCGAAACCCGGUGAUCUAGCCAUGGGCAGGUUGAAGGUUGGGUAACACUAACUGGAGGACCGAACCGACUAAUGUUGAAAAAUUAGCGGAUGACUUGUGGCUGGGGGUGAAAGGCCAAUCAAACCGGGAGAUAGCUGGUUCUCCCCGAAAGCUAUUUAGGUAGCGCCUCGUGAACUCAUCUCCGGGGGUAGAGCACUGUUUCGGCAAGGGGGUCAUCCCGACUUACCAACCCGAUGCAAACUGCGAAUACCGGAGAAUGUUAUCACGGGAGACACACGGCGGGUGCUAACGUCCGUCGUGAAGAGGGAAACAACCCAGACCGCCAGCUAAGGUCCCAAAGUCAUGGUUAAGUGGGAAACGAUGUGGGAAGGCCCAGACAGCCAGGAUGUUGGCUUAGAAGCAGCCAUCAUUUAAAGAAAGCGUAAUAGCUCACUGGUCGAGUCGGCCUGCGCGGAAGAUGUAACGGGGCUAAACCAUGCACCGAAGCUGCGGCAGCGACGCUUAUGCGUUGUUGGGUAGGGGAGCGUUCUGUAAGCCUGUGAAGGUGUACUGUGAGGUAUGCUGGAGGUAUCAGAAGUGCGAAUGCUGACAUAAGUAACGAUAAAGCGGGUGAAAAGCCCGCUCGCCGGAAGACCAAGGGUUCCUGUCCAACGUUAAUCGGGGCAGGGUGAGUCGACCCCUAAGGCGAGGCCGAAAGGCGUAGUCGAUGGGAAACAGGUUAAUAUUCCUGUACUUGGUGUUACUGCGAAGGGGGGACGGAGAAGGCUAUGUUGGCCGGGCGACGGUUGUCCCGGUUUAAGCGUGUAGGCUGGUUUUCCAGGCAAAUCCGGAAAAUCAAGGCUGAGGCGUGAUGACGAGGCACUACGGUGCUGAAGCAACAAAUGCCCUGCUUCCAGGAAAAGCCUCUAAGCAUCAGGUAACAUCAAAUCGUACCCCAAACCGACACAGGUGGUCAGGUAGAGAAUACCAAGGCGCUUGAGAGAACUCGGGUGAAGGAACUAGGCAAAAUGGUGCCGUAACUUCGGGAGAAGGCACGCUGAUAUGUAGGUGAAGCGACUUGCUCGUGGAGCUGAAAUCAGUCGAAGAUACCAGCUGGCUGCAACUGUUUAUUAAAAACACAGCACUGUGCAAACACGAAAGUGGACGUAUACGGUGUGACGCCUGCCCGGUGCCGGAAGGUUAAUUGAUGGGGUCAGCGCAAGCGAAGCUCUUGAUCGAAGCCCCGGUAAACGGCGGCCGUAACUAUAACGGUCCUAAGGUAGCGAAAUUCCUUGUCGGGUAAGUUCCGACCUGCACGAAUGGCGUAAUGAUGGCCAGGCUGUCUCCACCCGAGACUCAGUGAAAUUGAACUCGCUGUGAAGAUGCAGUGUACCCGCGGCAAGACGGAAAGACCCCGUGAACCUUUACUAUAGCUUGACACUGAACAUUGAGCCUUGAUGUGUAGGAUAGGUGGGAGGCUUUGAAGUGUGGACGCCAGUCUGCAUGGAGCCGACCUUGAAAUACCACCCUUUAAUGUUUGAUGUUCUAACG
Molecule: ribosomal RNA, 2199 nt
Filed under: Escherichia coli 2-210-07_S4_C3
Lineage: Bacteria; Pseudomonadati; Pseudomonadota; Gammaproteobacteria; Enterobacterales; Enterobacteriaceae
Description: bacterial LSU rRNA
Rfam family: Bacterial large subunit ribosomal RNA
Source: RNAcentral